This 246-nucleotide ribosomal RNA is filed under the name uncultured bacterium. Its description in RNAcentral is "partial 16S ribosomal RNA". It matches the Rfam family "Bacterial small subunit ribosomal RNA", at positions 109 to 354 of the family's 1533-position model. The record is from RNAcentral.
AGUAACACGUAUGCAACCUGCCUGCCACAGCCGGAUAAUCGGGAGAAAUUCCGUCUAAUACGGCAUAAUGCAUCGACGGGACAUCCUGUUGGUGCCAAAGGUUGAUUCCGGUGGCGGAUGGGCAUGCGUCGCAUUAGUUAGUUGGCGGUGUAACGGACCACCAAGACGACGAUCAGUAGCCGGCCUGAGAGGGUGGACGGCCACAUUGGGACUGAGACACGGCCAAACUCCUACGGGAGGCAGCAG